AAACAACUCUCAGCAACGGAUAUCUUGGCUCUUGCAA
RNAcentral lists this ribosomal RNA (37 nucleotides) under Pinnatella ambigua. RNAcentral describes it as "partial 5.8S ribosomal RNA". The record is from RNAcentral. Lineage: Eukaryota; Viridiplantae; Streptophyta; Bryopsida; Hypnales; Neckeraceae.